Molecule: long non-coding RNA, 857 nt
Organism: Helicoverpa zea (corn earworm)
Lineage: Eukaryota; Metazoa; Arthropoda; Insecta; Lepidoptera; Noctuidae
Exons: 2
Source: RefSeq, a predicted model, not a curated record
AUAGAAGACCUUAAUCUAGAUACAUUUUAAGACUACAUAGACUUCCUAUAAACUGCUAAAAUUAAACAUAACUAUAAACUGUUAGUGCAGAUCGGUAACUAGUAGUAGUUACGGGUAUGUAUUUAGGAAACUAUUUUCCGUACCGGAAUAAAAUAUAAGUAGCUUGUGUAACCCGGUGAUAGACUAGCUUCAGUAUUUUUAGCCUUUAACAAAGAUUUAAUAAUCAAAAACAUAUCUAUAAUAAUAGCGUUAGUUAACCAUUGCAAAGAUCUCAAUAAAAUUACGAGUAUGACGUAUCUUCUACAUCCAGAGAUAAUGUUAAAUCUAGCGUUUGAUGAAACCCACGGAAAUAGCGGCAACAAUACGCCACACUCUACUUAGCUUUGAGGACGAUACCAUAAAUCAAUUGUUUAUGGUUGCAGUUUACUUCAAAAUUGUUGCUAUUGCAACUGCAGCGUUUAAGAUAGCGAUGAAAAUGCCUACAAAUAACACCAGUGUUGGGGUAACGAGGUGGUUAAAACUCUGCCGUCACUAUGGUCAACUCCCGCUUUUUUUGUCAGAGGAUUCCGAGAGGUGCCGACCUCAGACAUUUAUGUUCCUAAAACGAUUUAAAAUCGCACACAGUUGCACAAUCUGUGUACCGUGUAUGAAGCCUAAUGAAAUGAGCCCUAGAUGCGGUCCACCUGCAUCACAUUACCUACGUGGAUUAUAUGGAAACUGACCCGAUUAUAUUACACUUUCGCGGUAUCAACUUAUAUGCCACUUUCUUUGUGGGCACACUAUUUAUAGAUUAGUAGUGAAAUGGUGCAUUGUGCCAGAAGGUCCAGGGUCAAGCAAUAAUAAAGAAAAUUAAUUUC